GCUGGAAUUGCUAGUAAUGGCAGGUCAGCAUACUGCCGUGAAUACGUUCCCGGGCCUUGUACACACCGCCCGUCACACCAUGAGAGUCGGGAAUACCCGAAGCCUGUGAGCCAACUUUUAAAGAGGCAACAGUCGAAGGUAGAAUCAAUGAUUGGGGUGAAGUCGUAACAAGGUAUC
This 177-nucleotide ribosomal RNA is filed under the name uncultured bacterium. Its description in RNAcentral is "partial 16S ribosomal RNA". It matches the Rfam family "Bacterial small subunit ribosomal RNA", at positions 1325 to 1500 of the family's 1533-position model. The record is from RNAcentral.